GAGCAAUAAAACAAAUAUGAAAUAUCCCCAACUCACAAAUUUCGGUUAAAAGCCAAACACAUUCGCCUAACACACGCACACGUUCAAGCUCCACCUUCAAAUCUACCAGCAAAGAGAGAAAAAAAAAGGAAAGAACUUGAUUUGAGUCCAUAAAGAAAAGGCUUUUUUUUUUUUAAUCUCUAAUUCGUCCAAAUUAAUUUAUUUGGAGAUGCAAUCGUUGUUAUUACCCCAACAUAUUGUUGAAGCACCCAUUAUCAAACCCUAGAAUGCUUCUCUUCUCGUCCUAAUCCUUCCAAGGUUCGUUUUUCUUUUCUCUCUGAUUUUUUUUUAUGUUUCUGGAUAUUUUAAUUCGGGUUUUCAAGGUUCUGAUGAUGAUUUUCGAAUUUGCCCAGCCCUCAUCAAGCUUAUUUGGCGCCCGCGUCUCGGUUGCAAAAGGUGUAAUCCGUCGCGACGUGCUCAUGGCGUUGUCUUCGGGUUCGAUUACCUGGUUUUACGCGCAGGCUGAGUAAGUGCCUUUUUAUUUUUAGAUUUGUUUUGUUACAAUUUUAGGUUAAUUUUGAAGUAGGGUUAAUUGUGUUAAACGCUACCAAACUAUCGUUUAAAUUUUAAAUGGUGGAUAAUUUGCUAUUGAUUAUGAUGGAAAUGACUAUUAAAUGUUUAAAAUUCCUCUUAUUUAAUUGAUGGUUGCUGCUGUUUAAAUGUGUCUGAAUGUUAAUUAUUUGGUUAAUUGCUUCUGUCUAGAUGUUUUAUCGUUGUAAUUGAGGUGCAUAAAUGUUGUUAAUUGUGAUGUUAAAGUGCUGCAAAUUGAAGUAUUAAAGUGUUGUAAAUUAAAGUGUUUAAAUGUUGUAAAUUGAAGUGUCUAAGUACUGCAAAUUGAAGUGUUUAGUUGCUAGAAAUUGAGAUGUUUUGUAUCACCCCUAGCCCGUAACCAUCGCCGAAUUAGAGUUAUGAGGCAUCACCGAUUAAACUAUUAUUCAUACAAACGUUUAUAUAAAAAAAAAUUCAACUCAAGAUUCUGAU
RNAcentral lists this long non-coding RNA (1020 nucleotides) under Gossypium barbadense (sea-island cotton). RNAcentral's name for it is "long non-coding RNA (GBAR_LNC004206)". Lineage: Eukaryota; Viridiplantae; Streptophyta; Magnoliopsida; Malvales; Malvaceae. The record is from RNAcentral.